UACGUAGGGGGCAAGCGUUGUCCGGAUUUAUUGGGCGUAAAGAGCGUGUAGGCGGCUUUACAGGUCCGCUGUGAAAACUCGAGGCUCAACCUCGAGCUGUCGGUGGAAACCGUAAGGCUAGAGUCCGGAAGAGGAGAGUGGAAUUCCCGGUGUAGCGGCGAAAUGCGCAGAUAUCGGGAAGAACACCCGUGGCGAAGGCGGCUCUCUGGGACGGUACUGACGCUGAGACGCGAAAGCGUGGGGAGCGAACAGG
This 253-nucleotide ribosomal RNA is filed under the name uncultured bacterium. Its description in RNAcentral is "partial 16S ribosomal RNA". It matches the Rfam family "Bacterial small subunit ribosomal RNA", at positions 524 to 776 of the family's 1533-position model. The record is from RNAcentral.